Molecule: long non-coding RNA, 1578 nt
Filed under: Homo sapiens (human)
Lineage: Eukaryota; Metazoa; Chordata; Mammalia; Primates; Hominidae
Description: HSALNT0302127
Source: RNAcentral
CUCCCUCCCUCAGCCGUGCCAGCAGCGGCACAGAACUGGAAUUGCCCUGGACGGCCACAGCUCUGCAUAUCCCCCAGGAGUGUGGACAAGAAAAAAUAAACACAAUUAGAGUUCACGACAAUGGGCCCCUGAUGGAAGGUAAGCCCGGCUAGCCUCUAAGGGCUGUGCCGGCUCCCACGAACUUCCAAGGCCGAGGACGGUGCCGAGACCCAACUUCCGGUCUCAAGAAAACUUGGCGCUGCAGGAAGACAAUGACAGUACCCUCCACUGAUCUGGGGCAAGAGGAAAUUUCUGAAUGAUCCCCCCGUAGCUUUCCACGCUCCACUGGGUCUGCGAUACAAAACUUCAGAUCCUAACAGUUGGGCUUUUCAAACAAACCAGUUUUUAAAAAUGAAUGUGGCUUACCCCCAACAUUCCAGCUGAUCAAAAGUACUUGUUUAGAAAAAUAAGUUUAGGAAUGAAGUGGAAACAAGGCCUUUGAAAUGCAGCUUAACCUAAAUAGCACAUUUUAGACUUUUCCUCCCCACUGCACAUUCUUUAUGGUGUAGGGGCCAGGGAGCCUGCAGUCUUCACCCCUCCUGAGCCCUCCUUGGCCUCGGGCUUCCUCUCCCCUGCUGCUGAGGCCUUCAGUCAGGGGCUGGCAUCUGGGAGAACCUUGAAACUGUUUCCCAUCCCCUUUGGCAGCAAGCAACAAGCACCAAAACGCUCCAGUUAACACCAGUGCAAUCAUCGUUAACGUGAAACAGCUGCCCGAGGCCUGGCGUAUCCACCAGACCGCCCCCUCCCCUCCAUGCUCAGCUAGACCUGGGUUGAAUUUGCUUUCUGGUCACUUACAGUCCUCUAAAGCACAGACAAGAAAUCUUUUUUGCAUAAAUAACUUGUAUGUGUUCAUUCCCAGAGGAAGUUGUCCGCAUAAGCAAACAUCACCCAGAUAUAAGUUUAACCUCUUUAAUCUUCCCCUCCACCCUGUCCACAAGGACAUACCAAGCUUUCCAAAAUCCAGGCAGAACUCCAGUUCUCCGACCCAGAAAAAGCCUGGCCUCACUCUCCACCUCCAGCUCAGCACUCAGGCCUGGCAGGCCACCGGCUGCAGAAAGAUCCUCCUCCCCUUCCCCACCCAAGCAGUUGUGUUUCCCAGCAAAAAAUCGGACCCUCAGCUGCUACCGCAGCCACAUGAUCCACUCAGUGACUCACAGGCAGGCCACACCCCUUCAGGCCUCCCGGCCAGGCUCUGCUCCCAGCCAGCUAACUCUGGGAUGCAUCUUAUUACCAAAGGGAACAACUAGCUAACUAAUGCCCUUGACAGUCCAAAUAAUUACUUUCUUUCAUUAGAAGAACUUGCUUAUAAAAUAUAUACGGGCUGAGAGGACGCAGGCUCUUCUGAACUCUGGCUCUGCCAGCUCUCCAAGUCCUCCCCCACCAUGCCAAGACCUGGGGAAUGGCAGACAUGGUUAGCUGGGAAGCUAGAAAGCUAAGACAUUCCUGUUUAAAAAGAAAGCUCUUACAUGUUAAUACCUUUUUUUCCCAAAAAUUUUAUUGGGGGAAAACUACAAAACAUUUACAGUACAAUGUUUACAG